Molecule: ribosomal RNA, 440 nt
Filed under: uncultured bacterium
Lineage: Bacteria
Description: partial 16S ribosomal RNA
Rfam family: Bacterial small subunit ribosomal RNA
Source: RNAcentral
CCUACGGGAGGCAGCAGUCGGGAAUAUUGCUCAAUGGGGGAAACCCUGAAGCAGCAACGCCGCGUGGAGGAUGAAGGUUUUCGGAUUGUAAACUCCUUUUGUUAGAGAAGAUAAUGACGGUAUCUAACGAAUAAGCACCGGCUAACUCCGUGCCAGCAGCCGCGGUAAUACGGAGGGUGCAAGCGUUACUCGGAAUCACUGGGCGUAAAGAGCUCGUAUGCGGGAUAGCAAGUCAGAUGUGAAAUCCUAUGGCUUAACCAUAGAACUGCAUUUGAAACUGUUAUUCUAGAGUAUGGGAGAGGUAGGUGGAAUUCUUGGUGUAGGGGUAGAAUACGUAGAGAUCAAGAGGAAUACUCAUUGCGAAGGCGACCGGCUAGAACAUAACUGACGCUGAUGCGCGAAAGCGUGGGGAGCAAACAGGAUUAGAUACCCGAGUAGUC